RNAcentral lists this ribosomal RNA (380 nucleotides) under uncultured eukaryote. RNAcentral describes it as "partial 18S ribosomal RNA". It matches the Rfam family "Eukaryotic small subunit ribosomal RNA", at positions 592 to 976 of the family's 1831-position model. The record is from RNAcentral.
CAAUAGCGUAUAUUAAAGUUGUUGCAGUUAGAACGCUCGUAGUCGGAUUUCGGGGCAGUCCGACCGGUCUGCCGAUGGGUAUGCACUGGCCGGAGUGUCCUUUUUGCCGGAGACCGUGCCUACUCUUAACUGAGCGGGGGCGGGAGACGGCACUUUUACUUUGAAAAAAUCAGAGUGUUUCAAGCAGGCAGCUCGCUCUUGCAUGGAUUAGCAUGGGAUAAUGAAAUAGGACUUUGGUGCUAUUUUGUUGGUUUCGAACACCGAAGUAAUGAUGAGAAGGGACAGUCAGGGGCACUCGUAUUCCGCAGAGAGAGGUGAAAUUCUCAGACCCGCGGAAGACGAACCACUGCGAAANCANNNGCCAGGGAUGUUUUCACNGA